GACGAACGCUGGCGGCGUGCCUAAUACAUGCAAGUCUAACGAGUGGCGGACGGGUGGAUAAUCUAUCGGCACGUGCCCAGUAGCGGGGGAUCACUACUCUAAAGAGUGGCUAAUACCGCAUACUAUUGGAGCGGCCGAUCUGGGCUUAGCUAGUUGGUGGGGUAAAGGCUACCCAUGGCAACGAUCCGUAGCAGGUGUGAGAGGACGACCAGCCACACUGGGACUGAGACACGGCCCAGACUCCUACGGGAGGCAGCAGUGGGGAAUUUUGGACAAUGGGGGAAACCCUGAGCCAGCCAUCCCGCGUGUAUGAGAAGGCCUUCGGGUUGUAAAGUACUUUUGGCAGAGAAGCGGUAUCUGGAGAAUAAGCACCGGCUAACUACGUGCCAGCCGCCGCGGUAAUAC
Molecule: ribosomal RNA, 405 nt
Filed under: uncultured bacterium
Lineage: Bacteria
Description: partial 16S ribosomal RNA
Rfam family: Bacterial small subunit ribosomal RNA
Source: RNAcentral